Molecule: ribosomal RNA, 253 nt
Filed under: uncultured bacterium
Lineage: Bacteria
Description: partial 16S ribosomal RNA
Rfam family: Bacterial small subunit ribosomal RNA
Source: RNAcentral
UACGAGCCGUACAAACGUUAUUCGGAAUCACUGGGCUUAAAGGGUGCGUAGGCGGCCAUGUAAGUGGGGUGUGAAAUCCCUCGGCUCAACCGAGGAACUGCGCUCCAUACUGCAUGGCUUGAGGGAGACAGGGGUAAGCGGAACUGAUGGUGGAGCGGUGAAAUGCGUUGAUAUCAUCAGGAACACCGGUGGCGAAAGCGGCUUACUGGGUCUCUUCUGACGCUGAGGUACGAAAGCUAGGGGAGCGAACGGG